This 774-nucleotide long non-coding RNA is filed under the name Sinocyclocheilus grahami. RNAcentral describes it as "lncRNA (ENSSGRG00000003285.1)". Lineage: Eukaryota; Metazoa; Chordata; Actinopteri; Cypriniformes; Cyprinidae. The record is from RNAcentral.
UCAUUCUAAUUUUUGUGCUUCUUAUUAAUGCAUGCCAAUUGCAUUUCCUCUUACAGUGACUAUAAAGUGCCACUGACAGCGCUGUCUGAGAGCCAACUUGCCCUGUGUCACCCAGAAAAGGAGUUGCUCCCUUUGGUGUUAGCUAACUGCCAUUACACACUAGAGAAGGGUCAGCAAACAGUGAGCUCCUAUGAUCAUGAGUCUAUUGAGAGAGAACUCAGCAGACGAUUUUUUGCAGGCAAACCACGCAUUCAAACAGUGAGUCUACACAUUUUAAAACUUGUUUUCAUACUAAUGUUAAAUAUAUGACCAGAUUCAUUGGUUGCUAAAGACUGAGAAUUUCAUGCAGGACACUGAUAAAUACCUGAGAAGACAACAUCAGAAUUUUAUAGAAGUCCUCAAUGAGGUCAGAGCCAAAAUACCUCAGGAACCUCUCAAGGCCUCUGUGCUCAGUUCCAUGAGAUCAAUGCUACGUUCAUUCACCGAUGUGUGUGACGCAGUUUAUGCCGUGGAGAUUGGGCUUCGUUUCCUUGGUAAAACUGGUGGACACCCACAAGAUCUGCUUCUGUCCUAUCUGAAAGUUUCCUUGAAAAUGGACCAACACAUCUCAAGCACCAUAGCUGAGGCUUUAAAAGAGAACCGGCUUAAUCAGUGCACAGCCACCUGGCAGCUCCUUACCUGCUGGAAGAGUGAACAGAUGAUAAGGAAACGACAGGUAAUUUGACAUUCAGCUUUUGUGACAUCUAGUACUGUAUAUCAAUAAUACCAAUCACA